This 485-nucleotide ribosomal RNA is filed under the name uncultured bacterium. RNAcentral describes it as "partial 16S ribosomal RNA". It matches the Rfam family "Bacterial small subunit ribosomal RNA", at positions 29 to 523 of the family's 1533-position model. The record is from RNAcentral.
AGUGAACGCUGGCGGCGUGCUUAACACAUGCAAGUCGAACGAGAACGGAAUAUAGCUUGCUAUAUUUGUCAACUAAGUGGCGCACGGGUGAGUAAUGUAUAGAUAACCUGCCCUUAAGAAAGGAAUAACAGUUGGAAACGACUGCUAAUGCCCUAUAUGCCUUUAAUACAUAAGUAUGCAAGGGAAACGCUUUAGUGUUUAAGGAUGGGUCUGUAUGGUAUCAGCUUGUUGGUGAGGUAAUGGCUCACCAAGGCUAUGACGCCUAACUGGUUUGAGAGGAUGAUCAGUCACACUGGAACUGGGACACGGUCCAGACUCCUACGGGAGGCAGCAGUGGGGAAUAUUGCACAAUGGACGAAAGUCUGAUGCAGCAACGCCGCGUGGAGGAUGACACAUUUCGGUGCGUAAACUCCUUUUAUAUAGGAAGAUAAUGACGGUACUAUAUGAAUAAGCACCGGCUAACUCCGUGCCAGCCGCCGCCGUAA